RNAcentral lists this ribosomal RNA (862 nucleotides) under Gammarus elevatus. Its description in RNAcentral is "partial 16S ribosomal RNA". The stretch from base 566 to 862 matches the Rfam family "Bacterial large subunit ribosomal RNA", at positions 2046 to 2593 of the family's 2925-position model. Lineage: Eukaryota; Metazoa; Arthropoda; Malacostraca; Amphipoda; Gammaridae. The record is from RNAcentral.
AAAGAUAAAGAAAUUUUGGUAAGUUUACCUUUUGUAUCAGGGGAGUUCAAAAGUAAAGAUAAUAAAGGAUCGAUUUAAACAGAGCUCCGUGUACGUUAAUUUUAGUUGAAUUUAUAAUUUUAAUUUGUUAUGUGGUGAAAAAUGCACGGUGUUUAUGGUAGCUAUUUGUUUUUUUUUGUUGGGGGGUAAGCUUCCAUUAACUUAACUGUGUAAAUAAGAUAGGAAAUUAGGCUUUGUAUUAGCCAGAUUACUAAAUUGUUUUAAAUAACCUAAUAAAUGUAAGGUGUAUUUUUAAGGUUAAAAGACUUGGUUUGUCAGUGUUAGCAAGCUUAAAUAAUGAAUUUAUUGAAUAAAGAAUGAAGCACUUAAAUAACUCAUGGUAGGUUAGAAUGUUUAGCAAAAACAUUUUCUUUUGGGGUGAGCAAGGUAAGACCUGCCCGGUGAUUUUUAACGGCUGCGGUAUUUUGACUGUGCUAAGGUAGCAUAAUCACUUGUUACUUAAUUGGUAACUGGAAUGAAAGGUUAAACUAAUUUCCUCAGUUUGUUGUGUUUUUUAAGAAGUUAAAGUCAAGGUAAGAAUUCUUUGAUCUGCUAGGGGACGAUAAGACCCUAGAAGCUUGACAAUGAGAAUAUUUGUUAGUUAUAAAGAUUAAUUUGUUUUACUGGGGCGGUGAAGGUAUAUAAACUAUUAGAAUAUUGAGGGAUCCUUUAAAUAAAGAUAAAACGGAAAAGUUACUCUAGGGAUAACAGUGCAAUAUUUUUGGAGAGAUCUUAUCGAUAAAAAUGUUUGCAACCUCGAUGUUGAAUUAAAAUGUCUACGUGAAGCAGCAGGUACGUGAGAGGGUUUGUUCAACCUUUAAAU